Cygnus olor (mute swan) is the source of this 2991-nucleotide long non-coding RNA. RefSeq lists it as uncharacterized. The record is from RefSeq and is a predicted model, not a curated record. NCBI's taxonomy places the organism in Eukaryota, Metazoa, Chordata, Aves, Anseriformes, Anatidae. The transcript has 2 exons.
UGCUGAGGAACGUGGGGGGCAGUUCUGGAGCGAGGGGGGCAAUUCUGAGGGGGCGAGGGGGGUCUGGAGUGAGGGGCGGUUCUGAGGGGUCAGGAGGCGGAUCUGGAGUGAGGGGGCAAUUCUGAGGGGGUAGGGGGCAACUCUGAGGGGGCAGUUCUGAGGGGCCAGGGGGCAGUUCUGGAGUGAGGGGGCAAUACUGAAGGGCCAGGGGGUGGUUCUGGAGUGAGGGAGCGGUUCUGAGGGGGCAGUUCUGAGGGAUGUGGGGGACAGUUCUGGAGUGAGGGGGACAGUUCUGAGAGGUGUGAUCCCCCGGGGGGGCAUUCUGGGUGUAUGAAGGGCUGGGCGGUCUCCACCAGGGGAUGAGGAAUGGGGGCAGCCCCACAAGGGGGCAGUCCAUGGAGGAGAAGGGUACGGGGCUGAAGGAAGAGUCCCUGGGGGAGAGGGGGGUUUGGGAUACGGAGCGGGGAAAGUCAGGUGCAGUGAGGGGCUGCACAGAGGGGGUACACAGAGAGCUGGGGCUCCAUGCUCUUACUAAGAGGGCUCCCCACAUCCCAAGGACACUGCUAUCCCAGGAUAAUCAGCCCGGAGGAACAGGGCCACUGCUGACACAGGGCUGCUCCCCCAGCACCGCAGGCAUUGUCCUGCUUGGACAAGCAGCUCCUCUGCGACCGAUCCCACCACCUGGUCCCUCAUGUCUUGGUGUGCGACUGCCAUGACACCACGGCAACCCUGAUCCCGCAGGGUCAGAGCUGCCUUUCCAUGCCAGGCAGAGAGGCCAAAAGCACGAUGGCUGGCACCAGGACUUAUUUUGCCUCUGGGGUUCAAGAGGAGGCUCACGGUGCAUUCUAGAGUGCCCUGGAAGGCCUCCAGGACAUCCUAGAGGAAACUGGAGGUCACUGGGAGGAUUUCCGGGGGAGCUAGAGGGCACUGGGUGGCCCUGGUAGACCUGCGGAGGACCUAGAGUGCAGCAGAGGACCACAGGAGGCCUCCAGUGUGCUUAGGCGUGCACUAGGGAGCCCUGUGAGGCCUUCAGAGGCCACUAUAUUCCAGAAAGAGUAUUAUUUUGCCUCUAGGGUGCAAGAGGUUUCUCAUACGGCACCCUAAAUUGCCCUGGGCCUGCUGUUGACCCACUAGGGGGCAACAGCAGGCUCGCAAGAUGCCCUAGAAUGCCCUGGAAGGCAUCCUAGAGGAAGAAGGGGGUCACUGUGAGGCUGGGUGCUGUAUGAGCCCCCUCUUGCACCCUAGAGGCAUCAUAAGCACUCUUCCAGGAAUCUAGAGGCCUUGCAGGACUCCCUAGUGCACUCUUGGGCACACUGGAGGCCUCCUGUGGUCCUCCUCUGCACUCUAGAUGCUGGGUAGUUCUACCUGGGUCACCCAGUGCCCUCUAGCUCCUCCAGAAAGCCUCCCAGUGACCCCCAGUUUCCUUUAGGACGCCCUAGAGGCCUCCCAGGGCACUCUAGGGUGCCCUAGAAGCAACCUCUUGAAUCCUAGAGGCAAAACAAGGACUCUUCCUGGAAUCUAGAAUCCUCUGGAGGCCUCGCAGGGAUCUCUGGAGCACUCUCAAGCACAAUGGAGGCCUCCUGUGGUCCUCUGCUGCACUCUAGAUCUUCCGUAGGCUGCCCUAGGAGCAACCUCUUGAAUCCAAGAGGCAAAAUAAGAACUCUACCUAAAAUCUAGAAGCCUCUAGGGUGUCCUAGAAGCCUGCUGUUGAACCCUCAAGGCAAUGUAAGGACACGUCCAGCAAUCUAGUGGUCUAACACUAAUUAUGACAUGUACGUCACCAGUUUCUCCCAUCAAAAAGUGAUCCCAAAAGAAGCCUUUGGUACACCUGAACUCCCUUGGGGAGCCUUUACGCAACCCCACACACAGCAGGGCUCUGCGCCUUCUCUCUUUCCAAACAACCCUAACUGGAACACUAAGCCCGACCCUAAAAAAAAAAUGUAUGGUGACGCUUUCUCCCAUCAAAAAGUGCUCCCGACGGAGGCCUUUGGGUACACCUGUGCUCCCUUUGGGAGCCUUUAUGCAACCCUUCAGCGCCUCGAGGUGCAUGUGCAUGUGAGAGCAAAUGCGUGGUCCUUGAUUCAACAUGCUCGGGAAGGCAGUGCGCUGUCUUCCCCUUCUGUUUUGCGUGCCUUUGCCAUACCAUUUUGUUACUGCACAAAGACAUGCUGGUUGCAUUGCUUCAAAGCUUUGAGACCCUCGUAUAGCCGAGGGAUCUCCCAUAUUAAUAGCUGUGGCCAGUGCUGUGGCACAUCACUGCGGUAUUGUUACAUCACUAGUUUGGACCGAGAGCUUCCGACCUGGUUUUGUAUCACAUUAUCAAAUACCUGUUUCUGCUGCAUAACAUACCAGCAGGUUUGUGCUGCAUUUUUUUUUUUUAAAGCUGUGUUACACUAAAUGGGGAAUCUCCCCUAACCACAGCUAUGCUGGGGUUCAGAGCUGGCCGUCGUAAUUGUCCCUUCUGGCAUCUAAUCUGUGCAUGCAGGAACGCGUAGGAGACUUCAGAGGGACGUUGCUUGUUCUUGUGAAAUAUUUCUAGUAUUACUGAUAACUGAGCAUUGCAUACAGACAUAGUCGCUUUCAAAAACACCGCGUCGGUUUUGCAUUCACACCAUUUGCUCAGCAUGCCACAGACUCACACCCCCCCUUGAUGGCCGAGCUGCUUCCAUGCAGUUCAGUGUCGCCUUUUUUUUUUUUUUUUUAAAUUCACAAACACAACGUCCAGAUGCCUGGAUGGUGCCUGCGCGAAGCCUGCUGGUUCCCACUCAGUCCUGCUCUGGUUUCAUCUGCCUUGUACAGGCCAUAAACAUUAGAGGGAGCUGCAGACUACUGCAUGUCCCUGUGCGCAGCUGGAAGGUUGGACACUUCAUGGUCGCAUGGAGCCUCGUCCGGGGCAGGUGGCACUGGCUGGUCCCCUGCCCACCAUGCUGGCUGUGCCGCAGCUAAUUAGAGCUUAUGUAUUUGGCACGUGAUUAAAUGAAUGAAAAAUGA